GAAAGGCUGCGUAAAAUUAUAAAAGGAAGGCAGAACUUUCCUUUCAGCGGCUGGACGCAUAGAACCCCGUCAAUUUUAUGUGUCUCAAUUAGG
Blautia sp. An46 is the source of this 93-nucleotide non-coding RNA. The record is from Rfam. NCBI's taxonomy places the organism in Bacteria, Bacillati, Bacillota, Clostridia, Lachnospirales, Lachnospiraceae.